CAUCGUUUUGCAUACAAGGAUCUAUUUCAUGCCACUGAGGGGUUUCCAGGUAGGAAUUUACUUGGUGUAGGAGGAUUUGGAAGAGUGUACAAUGGGGUGCUUUCUGCCUCCAAUCUGGAGGUUGCACUGAAGAGAGUGGCACAUGAUUCGAAACAAGGACUAAGAGAGUUCAUUGCUGAGGUGGUGAGCAUUGGUCGUCUCCGCCACCGGAAUCUUGCGCAGUUACUAGGCUAUUGCCAGCGAAAGGGUGAACUUCUCUUGGUUUAUGACUACAUGGAAAAUGAUAGUCUUGACAAAUACUUGUACAAUAGAAAUAUGCCAACUCUACAAUGGUCUGAGAGGUACCAAAUCAUCAAAGGUUUAUUAUGCUCCUACCCAUCAUCCAGUGCAAGGCCU
Molecule: ribosomal RNA, 396 nt
Filed under: Triticum aestivum (bread wheat)
Lineage: Eukaryota; Viridiplantae; Streptophyta; Magnoliopsida; Poales; Poaceae
Description: partial small subunit ribosomal RNA
Source: RNAcentral